CAACCAGGAAAUCCUGCACUGGAGACAUCUUUUGAAAGAAAUGUUGAAUAUGAGGCACCAUUGCAAUUUCAAAACUGAAAAGGCUCCUUCAGCUUGCCGAGGUUUUAUUGAAGCAGUUGUUGUGUUAUGUUGUUGGAUGUGAAUUGGACACGCUGCAACAAACAACCAUGACAUCUUGUGAAGAAAUGUUUAAUAUCAAGCACCAUAUAAAGUGAAAAGGCUCCAUCAAUUCACCGUAUCAGUUUCAGCUAGCAAUUUUUACUUAUGUUGAUGCAUACGAAGCACAAGGAUGAGGGUUUGGAACAUUGCAGGGUUCCCUCAAUUAAAGUGAUUAACAGAACAUGGUCAUCCCUCUAGAAUCAGAAUUGGGCCCCUGUAAAGAAGUUAUCAGACUCUCGCAGCUCUAUUUCUAAUAAUUGGAUAUGAUGUUAGAAUGCAAUGCAAUUUAUCCUAAACGGGAGCGUUUGGCAAGUCAAAAGACACAUGUUUUCAAAAAUCGAUUGCUCAUUCAAACGACGUUGUCUCCUCCACUAACAAGGAGUAGUAAUUGUUAGUCUGGUCUGUCUGGCGGUGACAGAGAGAGCCGAUGGGUGGAGCUCUCCCGCGCAUCAAGGUCCCUCAACGACACCCAAAACCCUCCGGUCUGUUUUUCUAUUCUUGUUUCGCUUUAACUUGAAUUUUACAUCAUGAUUCUGGUUGUUU
Molecule: long non-coding RNA, 702 nt
Organism: Pistacia vera
Lineage: Eukaryota; Viridiplantae; Streptophyta; Magnoliopsida; Sapindales; Anacardiaceae
Exons: 3
Source: RefSeq, a predicted model, not a curated record